GGAUCCAGACUUUGAUUCUGGCUCAGGACGAACGCUGGCGGCGCGCCUAACACAUGCAGGUCGAACGGAGAUUACAGGCGGAAGUUUUCGGAUGGAAGCUUGUAAACUUAGUGGCGGACGGGUGAGUAACACGUGAGCAACCUGCCUAUCAGAGGGGGAUAACGAUUGGAAACGAUCGCUAAUACCGCAUGACAUAGCGGAACCGCAUGGUUUUGCUAUCAAAGAUUUUAUCGCUGAUAGAUGGGCUCGCGUCCGAUUAGAUAGUUGGUGGGGUAACGGCCUACCAAGUCGACGAUCGGUAGCCGGACUGAGAGGUCGAACGGCCACAUUGGGACUGAGACACGGCCCAGACUCCUACGGGAGGCAGCAGUGGGGGAUAUUGCACAAUGGGGGAAACCCUGAUGCAGCGACGCCGCGUGAGGGAAGACGGUCCUCUGGAUUGUAAACCUCUGUCUUCGGGGACGAAACGAGACGGUACCCGAGGAGGAAGCCACGGCUAACUACGUGCCAGCAGCCGCGGUAAUACGUAGGUGGCAAGCGUUGUCCGGAAUUACUGGGUGUAAAGGGAGCGUAGGCGGGCAGGCAAGUCAGGCGUGAAAUAUAUCGGCUCAACCGGUAACGGCGCUUGAAACUGCAGGUCUUGAGUGAAGUAGAGGUUGGCGGAAUUCCUAGUGUAGCGGUGAAAUGCGUAGAUAUUAGGAGGAACACCAGUGGCGAAGGCGGCCAACUGGGCUUUUACUGACGCUGAGGCUCGAAAGUGUGGGGAGCAAACAGGAUUAGAUACCCUGGUAGUCCACACCGUAAACGAUGAUUACUAGGUGUGGGGGGACUGACCCCUUCCGUGCCGGAGUUAACACAAUAAGUAAUCCACCUGGGGAGUACGGCCGCAAGGUUGCAA
Molecule: ribosomal RNA, 898 nt
Filed under: uncultured Bacillota bacterium
Lineage: Bacteria; Bacillati; Bacillota
Description: bacterial SSU rRNA
Rfam family: Bacterial small subunit ribosomal RNA
Source: RNAcentral